AUUGAACGCUGGCGGCAGGCCUAACACAUGCAAGUCGAGCGGGGACUUCGGUCCUAGCGGCGAACGGGUGAGUAAUGCUUGGGAAUCUGCCCAGUAGUGGGGGAUAACGUCCCGAAAGGGACGCUAAUACCGCAUACGUCCUACGGGAGAAAGAGGGGGAUCUUCGGACCUCUCGCUAUUGGAUGAGCCCAAGUCGGAUUAGCUAGUUGGUAGGGUAAUGGCCUACCAAGGCGACGAUCCGUAGCUGGUCUGAGAGGAUGAUCAGCCACACUGGAACUGAGACACGGUCCAGACUCCUACGGGAGGCAGCAGUGGGGAAUAUUGGACAAUGGGCGAAAGCCUGAUCCAGCCAUGCCGCGUGUGUGAAGAAGGCCUUCGGGUUGUAAAGCACUUUAAGCGGGGAGGAAGGUUCGCGGCCUAAUACGUCGCGGAAUUGACGCUACCCGCAGAAUAAGCACCGGCUAACUCUGUG
Molecule: ribosomal RNA, 472 nt
Filed under: uncultured bacterium
Lineage: Bacteria
Description: partial 16S ribosomal RNA
Rfam family: Bacterial small subunit ribosomal RNA
Source: RNAcentral